AAUAGAUACCCUGGUAGUCCACGCCGUAAACGAUGAGUGCUAGGUGUUAGGGGGGUUUCCGCCCCUUAGUGCUGCAGCUAACGCAUUAAGCACUCCGCCUGGGGAGUACGGUCGCAAGACUGAAACUCAAAGGAAUUGACGGGGGCCCGCACAAGCGGUGGAGCAUGUGGUUUAAUUCGAAGCAACGCGAAGAACCUUACCAGGUCUUGACAUCCCGCUGACCGCCAUGGAGACAUGGCCUUCCCUUCGGGGACAGCGGUGACAGGUGGUGCAUGGUUGUCGUCAGCUCGUGUCGUGAGAUGUUGGGUUAAGUCCCGCAACGAGCGCAACCCUUGUCCUUAGUUGCCAUCAUUCAGUUGGGCACUCUAAGGAGACUGCCGUACAAAUACGGAGGAAGGUGGGGAUGACGUCAAAUCAUCAUGCCCCUUAUGACCUGGGCUACACACGUGCUACAAUGGGUGGUACAAAGGGCAGCGAACCCGCGAGGGUAAGCGAAUCUCAUAAAGCCAUUCUCAGUUCGGA
RNAcentral lists this ribosomal RNA (522 nucleotides) under uncultured bacterium. Its description in RNAcentral is "bacterial SSU rRNA". It matches the Rfam family "Bacterial small subunit ribosomal RNA", at positions 777 to 1297 of the family's 1533-position model. The record is from RNAcentral.